This 332-nucleotide unclassified non-coding RNA is filed under the name soil metagenome. RNAcentral describes it as "partial contains 5.8S ribosomal RNA, internal transcribed spacer 2, and large subunit ribosomal RNA". The stretch from base 1 to 120 matches the Rfam family "5.8S ribosomal RNA", at positions 35 to 154 of the family's 154-position model. The record is from RNAcentral.
GAUGAAGAACGUAGCGAAAUGCGAUAAGUAAUGUGAAUUGCAGAAUUCAGUGAAUCAUCGAAUCUUUGAACGCACAUUGCGCCCGCCAGUAUUCUGGCGGGCAUGCCUGUUCGAGCGUCAUUUCAACCCUCAAGCACAGCUUGGUGUUGGGACUCGCGUUAAUUCGCGUUCCCCAAAUUGAUUGGCGGUCACGUCGAGCUUCCAUAGCGUAGUAGUAAAACCCUCGUUACUGGUAAUCGUCGCGGCCACGCCGUUAACCCCCAACUUCUGAAUGUUGACCUCGGAUCAGGUAGGAAUACCCGCUGAACUUAAGCAUAUCAAUAAGCGGAGGA